Molecule: ribosomal RNA, 254 nt
Filed under: uncultured bacterium
Lineage: Bacteria
Description: partial 16S ribosomal RNA
Rfam family: Bacterial small subunit ribosomal RNA
Source: RNAcentral
UACGUAGGCAGCAAGCGUUGUUCGGAAUUACUGGGCGUAAAGAGUGUGUAGGCGGUGCUCUAAGUUCGGUGUGAAAUCUCCCGGCUCAACUGGGAGGGUGCGCCGGAAACUGGGGGUGCUGGAGCGCGGGAGAGGAAAGCGGAAUUCCUGGUGUAGCGGUGAAAUGCGUAGAUAUCAGGAGGAACACCGGCGGUGUAGACGGCUUUCUGGACCGUAGCUGACGCUGAGACACGAAAGCGUGGGUAGCAAACAGG